GGAGGCCGCUCAGCUGGUAGAGGGCUGGCCUCGCGUGCGCGAAGGCCUGGGUUCAAUCCCCAGCACCG
Molecule: transfer RNA, 68 nt
Filed under: Marmota monax (woodchuck)
Lineage: Eukaryota; Metazoa; Chordata; Mammalia; Rodentia; Sciuridae
Description: tRNA.Ala
Source: RNAcentral